CCGAGAAGUGCCGUUUUCGGCUUGGGAUCGUCACGACCACCGCCCUCACCUACGGUUCUCCCUCGGCCGCCGAGAAUGCGCUUUUUUCGGGCCGUUUGCCUUUUGGCUUUGACUUUUAAUAUAGUGGGAAAUGAGGAAAGACCACUGUUUACUGAGUCUAAGGGUGAAUCCCAUUUCACCCCUUGGCCCUACCCCUUACCCCUUUCCCUCCGUUUUGCGCGUUCACGUGUAGGGGUAGGGCUGUCCCAAUUCACGCUAAUGUGCAGGGGGAGGGCUUUCCACCCCUCCUAACGGAGGGCCAUGACUACCCUAACUCCAAACGGAGGGUUACGCGAAAUUUCCCAGGGUGCAAAGCGAUUACCCCGAGAAUCAUUUCCAAAAUGGCGGAGCCAAGGAAAGAAGUACACAAAUGGAGUCAAGCACAAACAAAGAGCCUUACCAGGUUUGAGAACCAAGAACGGUUCUUGAAGUCAAAAGCCUCGGCCAAACAACAGUGGGAGAAGCUGAUCAAGGAGCUGGGGCUGCAGGGGAAGAUGUCCUCCCAGCAGGUCUCCAAAAAAUGGGAGAAUUAAAAAAAAAAAAAGGACAAGGAGCUGAAAACUCCCUGCUCUGGGGGUGGGACAGAUGAAGGCCAGGAGACCGCCACAACGUGGCAAUAUUAUGAGGAUAUGCUGAGAGGAAGGGCAGCAAUGGACCCUUCACUCUUGGUGGAUGCAUGCGCAGAGGGGGAUGUCAUCAUCCAAAGUGCUUUGAACGUCGCUGAGCCCAGAAUGUGCCACGUGCUGUUCCUGCUCCAGUCACCCCACCAUCUCUUCAUUUUGUUUAUUGAUGGUUGUCUUAUGUUCAUUUUUUUAAUCUGGUCAUAUCCAUACUGUUUAUUUUCUGUAGUUGCACCACACACUUUCAGACACUUUAAGCUGUAAUUUGCACUAUGUUCACUAUUUCUGUAAAGAAGCUGCUAAUAAAAGAAAGGAAUAACAGUUUGUGAGCAUGAUUAUCACAUCAGCAUCAUAUGAAUGAAACGGAUAUUGGUUUGAAGAGAUUUAUUUUGUAAAAUAAAAAUGUGAUGCAUUACAUUAGAAUGUAAUGGGAAAA
Molecule: long non-coding RNA, 1095 nt
Organism: Corythoichthys intestinalis (scribbled pipefish)
Lineage: Eukaryota; Metazoa; Chordata; Actinopteri; Syngnathiformes; Syngnathidae
Exons: 5
Source: RefSeq, a predicted model, not a curated record